This 524-nucleotide ribosomal RNA is filed under the name uncultured bacterium. Its description in RNAcentral is "partial 16S ribosomal RNA". It matches the Rfam family "Bacterial small subunit ribosomal RNA", at positions 28 to 523 of the family's 1533-position model. The record is from RNAcentral.
GACGAACGCUGGCGGCGUGCCUAAUACAUGCAAGUCGAGCGCAGGAAAUCGACGGAACCCUUCGGGGGGAAGUCGACGGAAUGAGCGGCGGACGGGUGAGUAACACGUAAAGAACCUGCCCUCAGGUCUGGGAUAACCACGAGAAAUCGGGGCUAAUACCGGAUGGGUCAUCGGACCGCAUGGUCCGAGGAUGAAAGGCGCUUCGGCGUCGCCUGGGGAUGGCUUUGCGGUGCAUUAGCUAGUUGGUGGGGGAAUGGCCCACCAAGGCGACGAUGCAGAGCCGACCUGAGAGGGGGAUCGGCCACACUGGGACUGAGACACGGCCCAGACUCCUACGGGAGGCAGCAGUAGGGAAUCUUCCACAAUGGACGAAAGUCUGAUGGAGCAACGCCGCGUGAACGAUGAAGGCCUUCGGGUCGUAAAGUUCUGUUGUAAGGGAAGAACAAGUGCCGCAGGCAAUGGCGGCACCUUGACGGUACCUUGCGAGAAAGCCACGGCUAACUACGUGCCAGCCGCCGCAGUAA